GUGUCAGCAGCCGCGGUAAGACGAACCGAGCGAACGUUGUUCGGAAUCACUGGGCUUAAAGGGCGCGUAGGCGGCUUAUCAAGUCAGGGGUGAAAUUUUGCGGCUUAACCGUAACAGUGCCUUUGAUACUGAUAGGCUAGAGGGAGAUAGGGGUCUGCGGAACUUCUGGUGGAGCGGUGAAAUGCGUUGAUAUCAGAAGGAACGCCGGUGGCGAAAGCGGCGGACUGGAUCUCUACUGACGCUGAGGCGCGAAAGCUAGGGGAGCAAACGGGAUUAGAUACCCCGGUAGUCCUAGCCCUAAACGUUGGGUACUAGAUUGUAAGUUCGAUAUGGGCCUACAGUCGAAGCAAAAGUGUUAAGUACCCCGCCUGGGGAGUAUGGUCGCAAGGCUGAA
This 394-nucleotide ribosomal RNA is filed under the name uncultured bacterium. Its description in RNAcentral is "bacterial SSU rRNA". It matches the Rfam family "Bacterial small subunit ribosomal RNA", at positions 505 to 898 of the family's 1533-position model. The record is from RNAcentral.